CCUACGGGUGGCAGCAGUGGGGAAUAUUGCGCAAUGGGCGAAAGCCUGACGCAGCGACGCCGCGUGAGGGAUGAAGGUCCUCGGAUCGUAAACCUCCGUCAGCAGGGAAGCACGGUCACUGUGCUAAUCACCCGUGAAUUGACGGUACCUGCAAAGGAAGCACCGGCUGACUCCGUGCCAGCAGCCGCGGUAAUACGGGGGGUGCGAGCGUUAAUCGGAAUUACUGGGCGUAAAGCGCUCGUAGGCGGUGUGUCAAGGCAAGGGUGAAAUCCCCGCGCUCAACGUGGGAACUGCCUUUGAAACUGGCGGACUGGAGUGUGUGAGAGGAUAGUGGAAUUCCAGGUGUAGGAGUGAAAUGCGUAGAUAUCUGGAGGAACAUCAGUGGCGAAGGCGGCUAGCUGGAGCAUAACUGACGCUGAGGAGCGAAAGCGUGGGUAGCGAACAGGAUUAGAUACCCGAGUAGUC
This 465-nucleotide ribosomal RNA is filed under the name uncultured bacterium. Its description in RNAcentral is "partial 16S ribosomal RNA". It matches the Rfam family "Bacterial small subunit ribosomal RNA", at positions 338 to 795 of the family's 1533-position model. The record is from RNAcentral.